This 274-nucleotide ribosomal RNA is filed under the name uncultured bacterium. RNAcentral describes it as "partial 16S ribosomal RNA". It matches the Rfam family "Bacterial small subunit ribosomal RNA", at positions 523 to 796 of the family's 1533-position model. The record is from RNAcentral.
AUACGGAGGGUGCAAGCGUUACUCGGAAUCACUGGGCGUAAAGCGCGCGCAGGCGGCUUGAUAAGUUGGAUGUGAAAGCCUACGGCUCAACCGUAGAACUGCAUCCCAAACUGUCAGGCUAGAGUGUGGGAGAGGAAGAUGGAAUUAGUUGUGUAGGGGUAAAAUCCGUAGAGAUAACUAGGAAUACCAAAAGCGAAGGCAAUCUUCUGGAACACUACUGACGCUGAGGCGCGAAGGCGUGGGGAGCAAACAGGAUUAGAAACCCUAGUAGUCC